Molecule: long non-coding RNA, 2139 nt
Filed under: Homo sapiens (human)
Lineage: Eukaryota; Metazoa; Chordata; Mammalia; Primates; Hominidae
Description: HSALNT0023843
Source: RNAcentral
GAAAGGGGGAGUGAUUUGAUAUUUUGCUAUUAAAAGGAACUGAACACCAGGGAUGUUUACAGCAGGUUUAUUUGUAAUUGCCAAACUUAGAAGCAACCAAGAUGGCCUGCUGUAUGCAAAUGGAUAAGCUGCAGUCCACCCAGAUAAAUAAAAUAUUAUCUAGCAAUAAAAAGAAAUGAGCUAUCAAGCCACAAAAAGAGAUGGAAGAAGCAUCAUUGCAUAGCAUUUACUGAAAGAGGCCAAUCUGAAAAGGCAAUAUGCUGUGAGAUUCUAACUAUUUAACACCCUGGGAAAAGCAAAACUGUGGAGAGGAUCAAAAGAGCAGGGGUUGUCAAAGUUGUGGGGAGGAAGAAAUGAAUAGGCAGAGCACUACUAUUUUUAGAGCAGUGCAAUGAUUGUGUGAUUCUAUAAUGGUAGAUACAGGUCAUUAUACAUUUGUCCAAACCUAAUGAAUGUACAGCAACAAGAGUGAACCCUAAUGUAAACUGGGUUCACUAUGAAUUUUGGGUGAUGAUGAUGUGUCAGCAUAGGUGUAUCCACUGUAACAAAUGGACCACUCUGGUUGAGAUGUUGAUAAUGGGAGAGGUUGUGUGUAGGGCAGGGGAGGGGGGAUAUGAGGUACAUGGGAAAUCUCUAUACUUUCUGCUUAAUUUUGCUGUGUUGGGCAGUGUAAGCCACCCUUAAAAAACAAAGUUUAUGUUUGGCUGAGUGUGGUGGCUCAUGCCUGUAAUCCCAGCACUUUGGGAGGCUGAAGCGGGCAGAUUACCUGAGGUCAGGAGUUCAAGACCAGCCUGGCCAACAUGGUGAAACUCCAUCUCUACUAAAAAUACAAAAAAUUAGCCAGGUACGGUGGUGCACACCUCUGAUCCCAGCUGCUUGAAAGACUGAGGCACGAGAAUCACUUGAACCUGGGAGGUGGAGGUUGCAGCAAUCUGAGAUUGUGCCACUACACUUCAGCCCAGAUGACAGAGCAAGACUCCAUCUCAAAAAAAAAAAUUAAGUUUAUUUGUAAAAAAUCAAUCAAUCAAAAAAAAUGGACCUGAGUGGAGGAAAGAAGGAGAGAUGGGAAAAGGGGAGCUUGCAGAUGCAGGGUGAUGGAGGCUGGAUAAGGGGCGAAUCACAAGUGACGGGAUGGCACUGAGCAGGCUUCCUCUGAAGUGCUGUAGCUGAGAGGUAAGCCCAUCUUCCUCUCAAACUUCAUUUGUUCAACUCAGCACCUGGCUGCCUUGGGUGCUGUCAGAGAUAAGUCUUACUUAUGGAGACUGAGCAGGAGUUUUGGUUCCUGGUCUGAGCCCAAAAUACGCCUAGUGCGGCAAUGUGCUUGGAAACAGUCCAGCGUAGCCAUGAGAAGAAAAGCUGCUGGAGAAUUUGAAGAACACUUGGAGAGGGCUUUGGGAAUUUCAAGCCAGUGUUGUCGAGCUCUUCAAGGGUCACUGAGGACCCCUCACUGUCUUAGGUUGUAGAGCUAAGAACACUGUGAACCACAAGGGACGUGCAGAUGGAGAGGGGAAUUAGCAUCUGGAUUAGGAGCUUUGCGAUCUUCAAAGAGCGAUGCUGCCCAUCUUUCACUCCAAAACCCGGAGGAGUGAUGAGGACAUCCAUUCAUUCUUGCUAGUUCCCUCUACAUCAUGGUUCUGCAUCAGUGAUCUAAUAUGAAACAGAGGCCUGGCUCUCCUACAUGGUGCAUGAAGCACUGGAAGAUCCAUUUCCUAUAGGUCUUGCCUCCAGGUAUGAGAACACCAAAGCUUGCAAAAAUCAAUUGUGGAUCUGCAUUUUUUUUCAAGUAUUCCUUUGUUUUCCAGACCUGAAAUUGCAAUGACGUUCUCACUGGAAAUACUUAAAACAAUCCUUCCCACAUCUCUAACAAGAAGUAUUAAGAGAUCUCUGGGAAUAGUUCCUAAGGUUAAACCCACCUAUUCUCUUUUCACACUUUGUAGACUCCAAGUGCCAACAAAGCCUCCUCUGCCUGCAGUUAAAAUGGUUUUCUGAUUUCAGAAGACUUUUUCAAUCAGGCUAGUCUUCUGAAAUAUGGCUCUUCUUUUAACCAAUCCAUAUAUUGUGUAUAUCAGCAAUCUCUCUUUCUUGGAGGAAGCAUGUAAGAGUCAAAAUUAGUUGAGAUCCCAGAUUUUUUAAGUUUAA